RNAcentral lists this ribosomal RNA (595 nucleotides) under uncultured Gammaproteobacteria bacterium. RNAcentral describes it as "bacterial SSU rRNA". It matches the Rfam family "Bacterial small subunit ribosomal RNA", at positions 838 to 1434 of the family's 1533-position model. Lineage: Bacteria; Pseudomonadati; Pseudomonadota; Gammaproteobacteria. The record is from RNAcentral.
UUUUAGUGGCGCAGCUAACGCGAUAAGUUGACCGCCUGGGGAGUACGGACGCAAGUUUAAAACUCAAAUGAAUUGACGGGGGCCCGCACAAGCGGUGGAGCAUGUGGUUUAAUUCGAUGCAACGCGAAGAACCUUACCAAUUCUUGACAUCCACGGAAUCCUUCAGAGAUGAGGGAGUGCCUUCGGGAACCGUGAGACAGGUGCUGCAUGGCUGUCGUCAGCCCGUGUUGUGAAAUGUUGGGUUAAGUCCCGUAACGAGCGCAACCCCUAUCCUUAGUUGCCAUCAUUUAGUUGGGGACUCUAAGGAGACUGCCGGUGACAAACCGGAGGAAGGUGGGGACGACCUCAAGUCAUCAUGGCCCUUACGGAUUGGGCUACACACGUGCUACAAUGGGCAGUACAGAGGGUUGCGAACUUGCGAGAGUAAGCGAAUCCCUUAAAGCUGUUCGUAGUCCGGAUUGGAGUCUGCAACUCGACUCCAUGAAGUCGGAAUCGCUAGUAAUCGCAAAUCAGAAUGUUGCGGUGAAUACGUUCCCGGGCCUUGUACACACCGCCCGUCACACCAUGGGAGUGGGUUGCACCAGAAGUAGCUAGC